AGUGAACGCUGGCGGUAGGCCUAACACAUGCAAGUCGAACGGCAGCACAGUAAGAGCUUGCUCUUACGGGUGGCGAGUGGCGGACGGGUGAGGAAUACAUCGGAAUCUACUUUUUCGUGGGGGAUAACGUAGGGAAACUUACGCUAAUACCGCAUACGACCUACGGGUGAAAGCAGGGGAUCUUCGCACCUUGCGCGAUUGAAUGAGCCGAUGUCGGAUUAGCUAGUUGGCGGGGUAAAGGCCCACCAAGGCGACGAUCCGUAGCUGGUCUGAGAGGAUGGUCAGCCACACUGGAACUGAGACACGGUCCAGACUCCUACGGGAGGCAGCAGUGGGGAAUAUUAGACAAUGGGGGCAAGCCUGGUCCAGCCAUACCGCGUGGGUGAAGAAGGCCUUCGGGUUGUAAAGCCCUUUUGUUGGGAAAGAAAAGCAGCAGGUUAAUACCCCGCUGUUCUGACGGUACCCAAAGAAUAAGCACCGGCUAACUUCGUG
RNAcentral lists this ribosomal RNA (492 nucleotides) under uncultured bacterium. Its description in RNAcentral is "partial 16S ribosomal RNA". It matches the Rfam family "Bacterial small subunit ribosomal RNA", at positions 29 to 507 of the family's 1533-position model. The record is from RNAcentral.